AAACAAUCUUUUUUUAAGAACAGCAGAUUUGUAAUGCUUUUAACUUGCCCUAUUCUUUUCUCAUCUCUCCCCCCCACCUUUCCAGCUCCACUGUAAGCCUUGAAAACCAAUGUAAUAGGGAAGAACCUUUGUAUUCUAUUACAAGCUAAUCACUAAAGGGAUGUUGCCUGUAAGCUUAAAUGAUACACAACGGCCCAUCUCAGGGAACCCUGCCUCCCAGGUAAUGAGCAUUAAGCUAAAAUACCUUUGUUUAGCUCACAGGGAACAUCCUGACCAGGCCCAUCUGUGCAGGACUGCAGGGAGGAAGGAAUUAACACAUGGCCUCAGGGGCUGAUGGAAACCAGAAGUGUUUGACGCUACUCCCUCCGCUGUUAGUGUAAAAGGAGCCUGAAUGUUACCUCAGGCAAGAUGGUUCUUUGGGACGUGAGGCCGCCAUCUUCUUGGGCUGCUGGAUUUCUGAAUAGUCACUCUUCCUCGCCCCAGCAACUCAUCUCUUGAUUUAUUGGCCUGUAGUGUGGUGAGCAGCACGAGCUUGGACUCUUAACAAAUUUGGGCGCAGCCAGCCAGGAGCCUUGCUACUUGUGGCUAGCCAGCCCUGGUUGGGGAAUUUGGGGUAAGGCCCUAGCAGCUGCCGGGACAGCUUGUCCUGAGGAUCUUUACCUUCAAAAUUCCCCAAAGUGGCACCGGCUUCCCCAGAGCUUGGCAGUUGGAGCAACAAAUCGACGUUUGGGAGCCAACAAGCUCUGUACAGUAGGGUAAGUUGCUCCGGUGUGUACAGCCGGGAACUUUUUCCUCUGUUUGGGGCUUUUUCUCCAGAAUAAGCCAAUUUGUUUUGUAUUUGAGUGGGGUGCACUGUUGGGGAGAGGAAGGAGUUGUCGGACUUAUAUCUGAUUUGUGAACUGGUUCGUUUGUUCCCGUGGAUGCUAGCAUUUGUGAGUGCAGUUUGUGUUUUGUUUGUCUUGAACUUCUGUCUUUAAAAAUGGAGAACGUUUCAAUUAUCCCUGAAGUCCUCUGAGGCUCGUUUUGGGUAAGUGAUCUGAUUACAGCUAUGAACCCAUGGGUGAGAGAAAGAUGAUACUUCAUCAUAACACUGUGUGGCCACAGUACCUGUUAGGAUCUGCACAGAGGAUUUAGGCAGGGCUAUCUUGGGACCCUGUGCACCAUGUACUGCUUUCCUUGCUGUGUUAAGUACUUUAUGGUCUCCUGUGUUGUUGGUAUAUAUAAAACCCCAAGACCAAACUUGAGGGUUUAUUUACGAUUUUCUGUUUGUCGUUUGGGUUUUUCAUUUCAUUUUGUUUGGUACUGUUUCUCCAUUUACAGCCAAAUCAGUUGUGAUAUUUAAAACUUUUACUGAUGUUAAAUGGAGGAAAGGAACAGAAAAAACUAAACCAAACCAAACCAAACAACUCUGUCUGUUCUUAUCUAAGAGUGGGGCAUUCUCAGGAAGAAGAGGAAGGUUCCACUUGGUUCCUAAAAUCACCAAAAGCUACAAAUAGAAAUAGAAGCAAAAUAAAUAUUAGUAAAAAGCGUUCAGCCAUCAGCCGUCAGCCAUCAGCCGGUGAUCUUGACUUGUCCCAUCUGCCAGAAACCCAAUUUGAAUCCAACCUCUUUUGUAACUGGUUAGUUUUACAUUGUUGUACUUGAUUCAUGGCUGAAAUGUUGGAAUGGGAACUGUGAGGUCCCUGUGUUUGUGUGUUUGUACAUGUUACAGAUGUGUAGCACUGCCAACGUUAAUGUGCAAAAGAGCUCUAUUUAUUUGGCUUAAAGGAAAUUAAGCACUUAUGUAAAUACUCAAAUAUAAAAGAAACUAGCUAGAAUGAAUUCUGGGUUCAUGUGAUCUAGGAAAUACUCAGUAUUGAACUAAUAUCUGGUAUUAAGGUUUGCGUAAGCUUGUUGGUUUGAUUUCCACAGACAUAUCUUUAGAGUCAUCAACAUUAAGUAUAAUGCUGUUAUUGUACCUAAGUUUGCUAGAAAUCAAAUAAGACCUAUCCUUUUUUUUUGUUUAAAUAAAUUUAUUUAUUUAUUUAUUGGCUGCACUGGGUCUUUGUUGCUGUGCCCGGGCUUUCUUUAGUUGUGGCAAGCAGGGGCUACUCUUUGUUGAGGUGCAUGGGCUUCUCAUUGUGGUGGCUUCUCUUGUUGUGGAGCACAGGCUCUAGGUGCAUGGACUUCAGUAGUUGCAGCACACAGGCUCAGUAGUUGUGGCUCACGGACUAUAAAGCACAGGCUCAGUAGUUGUGGCACAUGGGCUUAGUUGCUCCGCAGCAUGUGGGAUCUUCCCAGACCAGGGCUCGAACCCAUGUCCCCUGCACUGGCAGGCGGAUUCUUAACCACUGCACCACCAGGGAAGUCCCAAUACCUAUUCUUGUUAACAAAGUUUGUCAGCAAGAAGAUAAUAAUAUGACAAAGAUUUUAACUAAAUAAAAUAGAGGUAUAUGAGGUAAGAGUUUUAGGUAAACUCUAUAGGAAUAAUUAUGUUUGGGGAAGGUCUAUCUAAAAUAGUUUCUCUAGAUUUUCAUAACUUGAAACUAAACUAAGUUAAAUGAAGAGAAUUCAUUGACUCUCUGGGUCAUUUCAAAUAGGAUAAAAUAUUAGAACAUUAAUUGCUGGACAGGUCUAAGUUUACCUACAUUUGCCUUCUUGGAAGAGGAAGACUAAAGCAUACGUUUGUCAAUCAGGAAAUGCUAGUUUGACGGUUUUACAAUUACUUCUUGAUUUUUCACUAGAGAUCAAGGUUUUAAAGUUAAGAAUUAUAAAGGGAGCAUUUCAGUGUGCAAGAUGUAGGAUGUGUGUUUUCAGCAAAGAAGGUAUGAGGAAUGAAGACGCAUCUUGUUAAAGGGAAACAGGUGGUUUUGUUUUAGAGCUGGCUGUUUUUGAAUGGAAAAAGUGAGGGACAGAUUAAUAUGGAUACAGAAAAUUGUGGAAGGUUUUUGGAGGAGGAACACUGAAAGAAUUUUUUGUGCAUGAUAGGGAUUGGCUAAGAUAAGACAAUUUAAGAAAACAAAUUUUUUUUUAUUGCGGUACGUGGGCCUCUCACUGCUGUGGCCUCUCCCGUUGCGGAGCACAGGCUCCGGACGCGCAGGCUCAGCGGCCAUGGCUCACGGGCCCAGCCGCUCCGCGGUAUGUGGGAUCUUCCCGGACCGGGGCACGAACUCGUGUCCCCUUCAUCGGCAGGCGGACUCUCAGCCACUGCGCCACCAGGGAAGCCCAAGAAAACAAAUUUUAAAGGAUUAACUCCCAGAGGUGAUGUUAUUAUAAGUGUCAAAGGGCAGGAACUCUUUAAUAAGUCUUUUGCAUUGUCAUCAGAAUAAAGGUACAACUGCUUCACAACAGACAUGGAAAAUCUUAUCAGCUUCUGGAGUUGUCGGUCCAUUGGCACCUUCAGCAAUGAUCUGCAAGAAAGUCACGAACAUAGAGAAAUGCCAAUAACACCGUCAAAUCCCCUCCAGCUGAGCUCAAGAGAUGUGUGGGGGAUGGGGCUGUGGGAGAGAAGCAAAAUCCCACUUUAAAUUGUAUGCUUGGGGACUUGUAUGGCCAAAAAGUUUAUUUGGGUUUUUCCAUAAGAUGGUAACGAACCCGAACGAACACUUUGGCCAACCCAAUACAUCCCAAUAAAGCUGUUUUCUUUUUUUAAAAAAAGAGGAAACCCA
This is a long non-coding RNA of Orcinus orca (killer whale), 3647 nucleotides long. RefSeq lists it as uncharacterized. Lineage: Eukaryota; Metazoa; Chordata; Mammalia; Artiodactyla; Delphinidae. The record is from RefSeq and is a predicted model, not a curated record. The transcript has 3 exons.